Molecule: long non-coding RNA, 984 nt
Organism: Vespa velutina
Lineage: Eukaryota; Metazoa; Arthropoda; Insecta; Hymenoptera; Vespidae
Exons: 3
Source: RefSeq, a predicted model, not a curated record
UACGCUACUUGAAUUUCGCUACGCUACGAGCGAUAUAAACAUGAACGAAGCCGAUUUCAAUGAAAUCUUUUUCACGCUAAUGGAGGCCUCGGGUGUAUUUCUCGUUUCACAAGCGGCUCAUAACCUAUCAGUAGUGCGUAUAGUGUAAAUCGGACUCGAAAACCGUGAAGAAGAGCUUCAAGCUAAAUCUCGAACACGAAACGAACUCUCAUUAAGAUGAAAAUUACGCUUCCUUGAUGCAAAACUUCGCGAGUGGCUGGAUAGUCUGACAGGUAGAGCAGCAAUAACCGCAGAAACGACGAUACCAACGUUCUCGAAUACUCCCAAGGGUUAACAAUGUCUUUAAUGACGUAACAUAAUUACGAGGAAGCUUUCCCUCACGAUGUACGUCACCGGCAAACGCGGGAGCUUAAUUGUAAAGCCUGGAAGAUCGAGGCUAAGCGGCUAAACGAGCACGAUCGUCCUUGACGAAGGACUCUGAGAAUGCAACGUAGAAAGAUCGCCUACGAAUUAGUUGGAAGGAAGAAGCCCAAAGGACCGAAGAGCCCCUGAUAUGAAACUCGACGAUAGAAAAUGAAGAUAUACUUCCCUUUUGCUAUGGCCGCAAAAAUCUUCACGAGAGAUUUAUGUGCAGACGCUAAGAAAGAAACUUCAUCGUUCCGAGGGAAAAACGAAUGCGAUAUUUGCACGUAAAUAUCUGUGAAAUUUACGUGUAGUCGACUGUGCCUGACGAAAGUUUCGUGAAAUCAAACUUUUUCGAUGGAAUUUUGCAUCCGUUUAUUUAUUUAUUUAUUUUUUUUUUUUUUUUAAUCUUUUUCUAUUUCCUUUUUCGACAAUAUCAUCAGACUACGGAUGUAUAUGCACUUAAAAUAUGUUGAAAUAUGCAAAUAACAUAUUGAAAUAUGAAAAUAUAAUAUGUGAACAUAUGCAUAAAUAUAACAAUAUAUAUAUGCAAAAAUUUGAGAAAUAUUAUGAAUAUUUUGA